CUCUGGAAUUAGAUGAGUACUCAUUAGUAAAACCUGUAUGUAGUUAGACAAAUGAAGGUUCAUGGGAAACGUUUAGGGUUCCACAGAGGUAAGCAGCUUCGACGCGAACGAUUCCAUGAAGUUUAUCCACAGAUGUGAACCAGGGAAGCUGAAGCCGAAUCAUGGAUCAUAUGAAGAACCAUAUGUUUGACCCGAUAACACAGGUUCUAUUCACCAUCUCUGUCACGCAUCUAUUGGCAGUCCCUGGUGAUGCGCGAAGUCAAUUUACAAAGUUCUUCGUUUCCUCAAUUUACAGUGGUUUACAUAAAUUUUGGUUGAUUUAUACACAAAAUUUGGUUGCUCUUUUACAUAAAUUUUGGCUGGUAUUUAACAAUGGGUUGCUUGGGAGACAACCCAAGUUUUGUUUUAUUUUGCUUGUUUGGUUGUUGCAUUUUGCAGGGAUUGAGAGCCUAAAUUUUGGAGUAGGAGGUGGCUCUAAGGCCUCCAUGGCAAUUAGUAAAGAAGGGAUGAGUGAUUGCAUGUUUGGGGAAGAGAGGAGGAGACUUCGGUAUUCCGAGUGUUUCUUGAGAAAGGAGUCGAGGUGAGUCCAUUAAGGGUCUAUCUUUGACCCUUCACCAUAAAAUUUCCCUGGAGGAUCCUGACUCACUUGCAAUUCUUGGUUCUGCAUUAAUUUCACUCAUAGCAUGCUUUGUGAUUCUUGCUUUAUUCUUGAGACUUGUAGGAUUUCUUGAGAUUCUGAAUUAGUUGAUUGAACAUUGUCUUUAGUUGCCCCACUUGAGCCUUUUUGGAUAUUUUAUUGUAGCCAAGUGAUUGGGGCGGAUGUUUGGUUGGAAUAUUAGGGAGUGAUGAUCCUUGAUUAUAUUUGUAUGUAGCUGAAAAAUUGUGAAAUUCUCUUGCCCCGAAAAGAAAAAAAUCAUUGAAAAAAAAAAGAAAAAGAACUCCUGAACAAAAGCUGGAGUUGUAAAAGAAAAAAAAAGUUGAAAAAAAGGGGGGGUACAAGAGACUUGUGCUAAAUAGUUUAUUGUGAAAAGCUCCGGGGGGGUUUUAGAAUUGGACCACACUCAAUGUGCUUGAAGCCUAGAAUUUCCUUAGGGACCAACCACCAUCAUGUUCUACCUAGCCAAUGUUUCAACCCUUUUUAAAGUCUCUUUGAAUAUUUGCAUGUUUGAUCUUUGUUGCUAUUGAGUGAAUGGCAUUCAGGACCUAUGAACUUGCUUGUGUGCUCAGUGCACUAAAUCAACAUCUCAUCCUAGGAUUUUUAGUUCUAUAUGCUUCUCAUGAAUGGACUCUACACUCUUCUCUUUUCAAAAGAUGCAUGAAGUAGGUUGUCGGGUCUUUCUCUUGGAACUAGCUGUGAUUCCUUUGUCCCCAUAUUUUUUGUGAAGUAUUCCUUGUUGAGAGCACUUGUUUGAGAGCAUUUCUUGCGCUUGAGGGCAAGCGAGUGUUAUUUACGCUCGAGUGCGAGAUGUCGUUGAGUAUAGUGGUGUGAUGACCCUUGUUUAGUGGUGUUUUUAGGGUCAUUUCUUUCUUUGUUUUGAGUCUUUUUGUUGAGUCUCAUGUAGUGUUUCAUGCAUUUUUAUCUUUCUUUGAGUCUUUACUUCGUUUUGGUAAUUUUGUAGUUUUAUAGGGAGUUUUCUUGCAUUUUAAGUAAGUUUAGGACUUGUAUGGUUUUAUUGUGUUAAUUGAAGGAUCUAUUGUGCUAAUAAGCUCUUUGAGCUUCUGGAAUUUUCCUUGGCUUGUUGGUUAAGUUUGCAGAUCAGAAACUGAAGGUGAAAGAAGGCCAAGAAGCAUGGAAUUGAAGGAGGACUUAAAGAGGCUUAAAAGAGGAGUUACAAGAAACUAAAAAGUCUUUUCCAGCGAGCUUAAGCGCCUAGGCGUUGGGAAUUGGCGCCUAGGCUCUAGUUGCUUUUUCUGAACCUCCUGUAAUUGGCGCCUAGGCGCUGGGAAUUGGCGCCUAGGCGCCAAUUGACCUCCAGAGAGCAUGUUUGUGGCUGGAAUUGGCGCUCAGGCGCUCUGAAUUGGCGCCUAAGCGCCCAAACUCGACUGUUUUGCCUAUAAAUUGGUUUUUAGACAUUUCUCUUGAAAACCUUUUGGUCAUUUUAUCAUAUUUUCACAAGUUUUUUAAGAGAGGGUUUGAGUUCUGGAGCUUGAGGAGCUUUCCCUAAGCCCUAUGUUUCAGGUUUCAUUCUUAUCUUCUUGUAUGGAUUCCAUAGCCAUGCUUGGCUAAAACCCCUUUUGUUUUUGGUUCUUUGUAAGACUUUGCAUGUUUUAGCUUUCAUUCCUUUUCUAUUCA
This is a long non-coding RNA of Lotus japonicus, 2293 nucleotides long. RefSeq lists it as uncharacterized. Lineage: Eukaryota; Viridiplantae; Streptophyta; Magnoliopsida; Fabales; Fabaceae. The transcript has 2 exons. The record is from RefSeq and is a predicted model, not a curated record.